AACACAUGACAGAACAGCACAGAACAAACUUUUGGGAUAUUGAACAUUUUUUUAUCUUAUACGAUAUUUUGUUAAUAAAAUGGUAUUUUGGCAUUUUAGACAACUUGUACUGCGGACAAAAAGUUGUGCUGUGGUUUAGUGAGGUACAAAAAAUUCUGAUUUUGUCCUGUCUAUUGCUUUCCAGUUUGUCCAGUUCCUGAAACAGUUUUACAAUCAAACACAGUACAACUACAGUUGUCCUGUCCAGUCCCUUAUUUUUAGCGAAUCAAACGGAC
Molecule: long non-coding RNA, 275 nt
Filed under: Trifolium pratense (red clover)
Lineage: Eukaryota; Viridiplantae; Streptophyta; Magnoliopsida; Fabales; Fabaceae
Description: long non-coding RNA (TPRA_LNC006268)
Source: RNAcentral